UUUACUGCUUGGCGGCGAGCGGCGGACGGCUGAGUAACGCGUGGGAACAUGCCCCAAGUGAGGAAUAACUGCCCGAAAGGGUAGCUAAUGCCGCAUAUGAUCUUCGGAUUAAAGGAUUUAUCCGCUUUGGGAGUGGCCUGCGUACGAUUAUGUAGUUGGUGAGGUAAUGGCUCACCAAGCCGACGAUCGUUAGCUGGUCUGAGAGGAUGACCAGCCAGACUGGAACUGAGACACGGUCCAGACUCCUACGGGAGGCAGCAGUGAGGAAUCUUCCACAAUGGGCGAAAGCCUGAUGGAGCAACGCCGCGUGCACGAUGAAGGCCUUCGGGUCGUAAACUGCUUUUAUAAGUGAAGAAUAUGACGGUAACUUAUGAAUAAGCACCGGCUAACUACGUGCCAGCAGCCGCGGUCAUACGUAGGGUGCAAGCAUUAUCCGGAGUGACUGGGCGUAAAGAGUUGCGUAGGUGGUUUGUUAAGUGAAUGGUGAAAUCUGGCGGCUCAACCGUACAGACUAUUAUUCAAACUGGCAGACUCGAGAAUGGUAGAGGUAACUGGAAUUUCUUGUGUAGGAGUGAAAUCCGUAGAUAUAAGAAGGAACACCAAUGGCGUACGCAGGUUACUGGACCAUUUCUGACACUGAGGCACGAAAGCGUGGGGAGCGAACCGGAUUAGAUACCCGGGGUAGUCCACGCCGUAAACG
RNAcentral lists this ribosomal RNA (700 nucleotides) under uncultured bacterium. RNAcentral's name for it is "bacterial SSU rRNA". It matches the Rfam family "Bacterial small subunit ribosomal RNA", at positions 79 to 808 of the family's 1533-position model. The record is from RNAcentral.